CAGUAGCCGCGGGAAAACAGAGGGUGCGAGCGUUAAUCGGAUUUACUGGGCGUAAAGCGUGCGUAGGCGGCUUUUUAAGUCGGAUGUGAAAUCCCUGAGCUUAACUUAGGAAUUGCAUUCGAUACUGGGAAGCUAGGGUAUGGGAGAGGAUGGUAGAAUUCCAGGUGUAGCGGUGAAAUGCGUAGAGAUCUGGAGGAAUACCGAUGGCGAAGGCAGCCAUCUGGCCUAAUACUGACGCUGAGGUACGAAAGCAUGGGGAGCAAACAGGAUUAGAUACCCGUGUAGUCCCUGUCUCUUAUAC
Molecule: ribosomal RNA, 301 nt
Filed under: uncultured bacterium
Lineage: Bacteria
Description: partial 16S ribosomal RNA
Rfam family: Bacterial small subunit ribosomal RNA
Source: RNAcentral